This is an RNA transcript of Enhydra lutris kenyoni (northern sea otter), 1598 nucleotides long. It is a transcript of the gene named KH domain-containing, RNA-binding, signal transduction-associated protein 3 pseudogene, with no coding region annotated. The record is from RefSeq and is a predicted model, not a curated record. Lineage: Eukaryota; Metazoa; Chordata; Mammalia; Carnivora; Mustelidae. The transcript has a single exon.
CGCCUGCCGCGCGUCGGCGUCCCGGGCCCGGCGGCCAGCGAGCAUGGAGGAGAAGUACCUGCCGGAGCUGAUGGCGGAGAAGGACUCCCUGGACCCCUCCUUCACGCACGCUCUGCGGCUGGUGAACCAAGAAAUAGAAAAGUUUCAAAAAGGAGAAGGCAAGGAUGAAGAAAAGUACAUCGAUGUGGUGAAUAAUAACAUGAAGCUGGGACAGAAAGUGUUAAUCCCUGUAAAGCAGUUCCCUAAGUUCAACUUUGUGGGGAAACUUCUGGGUCCCCGUGGCAAUUCUCUGAAGUGUUUACAAGAAGAAACGUUGACAAAAAUGUCCAUCCUUGGGAAAGGUUCCAUGCGAGACAAGGCAAAGGAAGAAGAGUUGAGGAAAAGUGGAGAGGCCAAGUACUUUCACCUCAAUGAUGACCUCCAUGUUCUCAUUGAAGUCUUCGCUCCACCAGUGGAAGCAUAUGCCCGGAUGGGACACGCACUGGAAGAAAUCAAAAAGUUGCUCAUUCCUGACUAUAAUGAUGAAAUCAGGCAAGCACAGCUCCAAGAAUUAACAUAUUUGAACGGUGGUUCAGAAAAUGUGGAUGUACCGGUUGUUCGAGGGAAACCCACCUUGCGUACAAGAGGUGUACCCACCCCAGCAAUAACCAGGGGAAGGGGAGGAGUCACAGCCCGGCCAGUUGGAGUUGGUGUACCACGAGGGACGCCAGCUUCCAGGGGAAUCCUUUCCACCCGAGGGCCAGUGAGUUGGGGAAGAGGACUUCUCACUCCCAGAGCAAGAGGAGUUCCCUCAACUGGGUACCGACCUCUGCCACCACCCCCAACACAAGAGACGUAUGGAGAUUAUGACUAUGAUGAUGGAUAUGGCACUGCUUAUGACGAACAGAGUUAUGAUUCCUAUGAUAACAGCUAUAGCACCCCUGUCCAAAGUGGUGCUGAUUACUAUGAUUACGGACAUGGACUCAGUGAAGAGACCUACGAUUCCUACGGGCAAGAGGACUGGACUAACUCGAGACACAAGGCACCUGCAGCGAGGACCGCAAAGGGCGUCUACAGAGACCAGCCCUACGGCAGAUACUGAUUGUACUGUCUGGUGUUGUGAAAUAGCCAGUCUCCACCAGUCCUGUGUACUGUUCAAAGUAAUGUUUUUCUAUGAACAAUCCCUUUUUAAAUAAAUCAAAAUGCUUAAAAUCUGAAUGGAUGGAAGUUUAAAACUACUUUGUGGAAACAUCAACCUGUGCAGAAAAAAAAAAAAAAAGACAUGUAAAAUUUUGUUAUUUCCAGUCUGUAUAUGAAAAAAAUAGGUCAUCAAAAGGAAAAAAAUAACUUUGAUUAACUAGUGUUAAACAAAAAACUAGGUUUACUAAAUAUGUUAAUCCAUCCUUUUAACAUAAGCCUCACCUUUCAUUUUAAAGGUUUCCAUAGCAAUUAGUUAUUUUAUCUUUCAGCCAUAUGCUAGUUUUUUUCUCUUGCCAACAUGCGUAAAAAGGGAAGCCAAUUACAAGUGCAAAUAAUGUGGUAUUCUUUUGUAACUCAAGUCUUGAAAUGUUCUGUAGUGUUGAGCAAAGUCUCCUCUUGCUUGAUACUAAAUAAACUUU